RNAcentral lists this ribosomal RNA (274 nucleotides) under uncultured bacterium. RNAcentral's name for it is "partial 16S ribosomal RNA". It matches the Rfam family "Bacterial small subunit ribosomal RNA", at positions 523 to 796 of the family's 1533-position model. The record is from RNAcentral.
AGACGGGGGGUGCUAGCGUUGUUCGGAAUUACGGGGCGUAAAGGGCGCGUAGGCGGCUCUGCGAGUCGGGCGUGAAAUCCCGGGGCUCAACCCCGGAACGGCGCUCGAUACUGCGGGGCUGGAGACCGGAAGAGGAGGGUGGAAUUCCCAGUGUAGAGGUGAAAUUCGUAGAUAUUGGGAGGAACACCGGUGGCGAAAGCGGCUCUCUGGUCCGGUUCUGACGCUGAGGCGCGAAAGCGUGGGGAGCAAACAGGAUUAGAAACCCUAGUAGUCC